ACAAGCAGUAGGAGCCUCUUUAUGGGGUGACUGCGUACCUUUUGUAUAAUGGGUCAGCGACUUAUAUUCUGUAGCGAGGUUAACCGUAUAGGGGAGCCGUAGGGAAACCGAGUCUUAACUGGGCGAAUGAGUUGCAGGGUAUAGACCCGAAACCCGGUGAUCUAUCCAUGGGCAGGUUGAAGGUUGGGUAACACUAACUGGAGGACCGAACCGACUAAUGUUGAAAAAUUAGCGGAUGACUUGUGGAUGGGGGUGAAAGGCCAAUCAAACCGGGAGAUAGCUGGUUCUCCCCGAAAGCUAUUUAGGUAGCGCCUCGUGAACUCAUCUUCGGGGGUAGAGCACUGUUUCGACUAGGGGGUCAUCCCGACUUACCAACUCGAUGCAAACUGCGAAUACCGAAGAAUGUUAUCACGGGAGACACACGGCGGGUGCUAACGUCCGUCGUGAAGAGGGAAACAACCCAGACCGCCAGCUAAGGUCCCAAAGUCAUGGUUAAGUGGGAAACGAAGUGGGAAGGCUCAGACAGCCAGGAUGUUGGCUUAGAAGCAGCCAUCAUUUAAAGAAAGCGUAAUAGCUCACUGGUCGAGUCGGCCCGCGCGGAAGAUGUAACGGGGCUAAACCAUGCACCGAAGCUGCGGCAGCGA
This 644-nucleotide ribosomal RNA is filed under the name Proteus mirabilis. Its description in RNAcentral is "partial 23S ribosomal RNA". It matches the Rfam family "Bacterial large subunit ribosomal RNA", at positions 566 to 1211 of the family's 2925-position model. The record is from RNAcentral. Lineage: Bacteria; Pseudomonadati; Pseudomonadota; Gammaproteobacteria; Enterobacterales; Morganellaceae.